RNAcentral lists this ribosomal RNA (253 nucleotides) under uncultured bacterium. RNAcentral's name for it is "partial 16S ribosomal RNA". It matches the Rfam family "Bacterial small subunit ribosomal RNA", at positions 524 to 776 of the family's 1533-position model. The record is from RNAcentral.
UACAGGGGGGGCAAGCGUUGUUCGGAAUUACUGGGCGUAAAGGGCUCGUAGGUGGCCAACUAAGUCGGACGUGAAAUCCCUCAGCUUAACUGGGGAACUGCGUCCGAUACUGGAUGGCUUGAGUUUGGGAGAGUGAUGCGGAAUUCCAGGUGUAGCGGUGAAAUACGUAGAUAUCUGGAGGAACACCGGUGGCGAAGGCGGCAUCCUGGACCAACACUGACACUGAGGAGCGAAAGCCAGGGGAGCAAACGGG